GAUGAACGCUGGCGGCGUGCCUAACACAUGCAAGUCGAGCGAACGCACGAUAAGCUUGUUUCUUUGAUGUUAGCGGCGGACGGGCGAGUAACACGUGGAUCACAUACUUAUAAUACUUGGAUGACUACGGGGAACCGGAGCUACUACUGCAUAAUAUUUUGAACCGCAUGGUUCAAAAGUGAUAGACGGCCUUGCUGUCACUUAUAGAUGGUUCCGCGCUGCAUUAGCUAGUUGGUAAGGUAACGGCUUACCAAGGCGACGAUGCAUAGCCGACCUGAGAGGGUGAUCGGCCACACUGGAACUGAGACACGGUCCAGACUCCUACGGGAGGCAGCAGUAGGGAAUCUUCCGCAAUGGGCGAAAGCCUGACGCAGCCACGCCGCGUGGGUGAUGAAGGUCUUCGGGUCGUAAAGCUCUGUUGUUGGGGAAGAACAGAUGUGGAAGUAACUGUGGAUGUUUUGACGGUACCUAAUCAGAAAGCAACGGCUAACUACGUG
This 497-nucleotide ribosomal RNA is filed under the name uncultured bacterium. RNAcentral describes it as "partial 16S ribosomal RNA". It matches the Rfam family "Bacterial small subunit ribosomal RNA", at positions 28 to 507 of the family's 1533-position model. The record is from RNAcentral.